RNAcentral lists this small RNA (480 nucleotides) under Pongo abelii (Sumatran orangutan). RNAcentral's name for it is "retained intron". Lineage: Eukaryota; Metazoa; Chordata; Mammalia; Primates; Hominidae. The record is from RNAcentral.
AUGGUAUAAAUUGUUUCCCAUGAUAAAGGCUGGCUGCGUAGGUCAGGAAAGCUCUUGUCAGACCAUAUGUGCUGUUUCAGGCUGCUUCAAAUUUUUUUAGGACAGUGGUGGAUAUGAGUGAAGACGGGGCAGGCAGGCCACAUCUCUUAGAAGAGGAAGGUGACUGCCACGUCUCCUUCCUCCAUGCUGAUGGCAAGGUGUGCGGGCUGUGUUCUCUUGCAGCCAGCGUCCCAUGCUCGGUGGCCCCAGAAAAGUCAGUGUGUAGGCCUCAGCCACUUCAGGUCCGGCGUACAUUCUCCCUGGACACCAUCCUCAGCUCCUACCUUCUGGGCCAGUGGCCACGAGAUGCUGAUGGGGCCUUCACCUGCUGCACCAAUGACAAGGCCACCCAGACACCCCUGUCCUGGCAAGAGCUAGAAGGUGAGCGUGCCAGCUUCUGUGCACACAAGCGCUCAGCAUCCUGGGGCAGCACAGACCACC